Molecule: long non-coding RNA, 488 nt
Filed under: Dermacentor andersoni
Lineage: Eukaryota; Metazoa; Arthropoda; Arachnida; Ixodida; Ixodidae
Description: uncharacterized LOC126544020
Source: RNAcentral
ACGCGUAUUUUCAUCCGCUAGCAGCUACAACGGGGCGUGGCACUAUAGGCCAAAGCAGGUCACGUGACUUCCGCUGCUUUGAAAAAAGUCAGCUAAAAGCUAAGUGUACUGUGGCGUAUGUAUUGUUAAACAAGAUUUCGUAAAUCACAAAAAUACUGUAUGCGACGCCCAUUGCUGAAAUUAACGCCUGCUGUCAUGGCAAUGGUGGAGACGCUGCGACCUUCCCGAGUGCAAAUGGCGGCGCUCAUGCGAACUGACUGAACAGCCGCGCACGCCCGUUGGCCACAUUACCGUGCGUCGGACUACACUGGACGAAAUAUGCUGCUCAAGAAUGCACAUUGACUUCGGAGGUCUUCUUCAGAAUAUUGGAGUAAAGCCAGCAAUUUUAAUGGAGUCAAUCCGUCCAUAUGACCACUUGGUGCAAGCUUCAUUUUUGUGUUACACAUUCACUCAUUACAAUAACUGUAAUAAAAGAUUUGGAAAAUACA